Molecule: long non-coding RNA, 542 nt
Organism: Macrobrachium nipponense
Lineage: Eukaryota; Metazoa; Arthropoda; Malacostraca; Decapoda; Palaemonidae
Exons: 3
Source: RefSeq, a predicted model, not a curated record
CGCGUUCGGGCUCUCUAAGGCCUGCUCGCCAUCUCAUCUCAUUUUUCAAUUUGUGUAUGGGUGUUGUCGUCGAACACGCAGGCGAUUUUUAUUGUUCCGUCAAUUGAGGACCUAUAGCUCCUUCGGGACUGAGUAGUGCGUUAAAAAUGACCCUUAUUAGGUGGAAGUUCCCCGCCGUAGGGCUAAGCCAGAUGUUUGAUCCUAGCGGUGUCGUCUACGAAUGUGCCACAAGCAGAGGCAAGCUAAACGGGCCAGAGGGAGCCACUAAUCCAGAUGGAAGCCGAUGGACGGAUACCUAGUCUACCUAGGGUAAAACACCGCUGUCCGGCCACCUGUAUGGUAGCGCGGCCACUUUCCCAAAAAAUAACUUUAGCACUGCCAGUAAGCUAAGUUAGAGGUCGGUCACAAGCCAACCUCCGUGGAAGCAACGCCUCGAGACACCUACUUUCCACUCGAAGUGGAAAUCAGCGGGAGUUGGCAAGAGCUAAGAAUGCAAAAAAGCAACAGGACUCUAAAAAAGGACAGUCAUCAUCUCAAAAAGU